Molecule: non-coding RNA, 257 nt
Organism: Pelobates cultripes (western spadefoot toad)
Lineage: Eukaryota; Metazoa; Chordata; Amphibia; Anura; Pelobatidae
Source: the annotation of a GenBank genome assembly
AAUGUAUCAAGGUAUUAAUAUUGGUGUCUACUUGUAUCAAGCAUGUCAGGCGUUCAUAUAGUUGUGGUCGCAAUCUGGAACAGCAAAUUAAAGUGUGGUCCAGAUUUAUUUGCUAGACAAUGGUAGCAUAAUAUAAUAAGACAGCAAAGUUGGGAACUUCACAACAGGUUAACUAAUAACUAAUUUCAUGCAUCUGUAAUGAUUAGUGCAAGGAUGACACGACUUAUAUAGGCUCAAUAAUAUUUCUCCAGUUUCUG